This 253-nucleotide ribosomal RNA is filed under the name uncultured bacterium. RNAcentral's name for it is "partial 16S ribosomal RNA". It matches the Rfam family "Bacterial small subunit ribosomal RNA", at positions 524 to 776 of the family's 1533-position model. The record is from RNAcentral.
UACGGAGGAUGCGAGCGUUGUCCGGAUUUAUUUGGGCGUAAAGCGAGCGCAGGUGGUUUAUUAAGUCUGGUGUAAAAGGCAGUGGCUCAACCAUUGUAUGCAUUGGAAACUGGUAGACUUGAGUGCAGGAGAGGAGAGUGGAAUUCCAUGUGUAGCGGUGAAAUGCGUAGAUAUAUGGAGGAACACCGGUGGCGAAAGCGGCUCUCUGGCCUGUAACUGACACUGAGGCUCGAAAGCGUGGGGAGCAAACAGG